RNAcentral lists this ribosomal RNA (497 nucleotides) under uncultured bacterium. RNAcentral describes it as "partial 16S ribosomal RNA". It matches the Rfam family "Bacterial small subunit ribosomal RNA", at positions 28 to 507 of the family's 1533-position model. The record is from RNAcentral.
GACGAACGCUGGCGGCGUGCCUAAUACAUGCAAGUUGAGCGCUGAAGGUUGGUACUUGUACCAACUGGAUGAGCAGCGAACGGGUGAGUAACGCGUGGGGAAUCUGCCUUUGAGCGGGGGACAACAUUUGGAAACGAAUGCUAAUACCGCAUAAAAACUUUAAACACAAGUUUUAAGUUUGAAAGAUGCAAUUGCAUCACUCAAAGAUGAUCCCGCGUUGUAUUAGCUAGUUGGUGAGGUAAAGGCUCACCAAGGCGAUGAUACAUAGCCGACCUGAGAGGGUGAUCGGCCACAUUGGGACUGAGACACGGCCCAAACUCCUACGGGAGGCAGCAGUAGGGAAUCUUCGGAAAUGGACGAAAGUCUGACCGAGCAAAGCCGCGUGAGUGAAGAAGGGUUUCGGAUCGUAAAACUCUGUUGGUAGAGAAGAACGUUGGUGAGAGUGGAAAGCUCAUCAAGUGACGGUAACUACACAGAAAGGGACGGCUAACUACGUG